CACAAAUGGGCGGCCAUUGGAUGUGGGACACGCCAAGAACUGGCAGCCAUUGGAGAUUUGGACAACCCAAGAUGGCGGCUAUUGGUGACACAAGAUGGCGGCCAUUGGGUUUGGACACCCAAGAUGGCGGCCAUUGGUGACACAAGAUGGCGGCCAUUGGCUUUGGACACCCAAGAUGGCGGCCAUUGGAUUUGGACACCCAAGAUGGCGGCUAUUGGUGACACAAGAUGGCGGCCAUUGGCUUUGGACACCCAAGAUGGCGGCCAUUGGUGACACAAGAUGGCAGCCAUUGGCUUUGGACACUGAAGAUGGCGGCCAAUGGACCCAUCAGAAAGCCAAUAUGGUCAUAAAUUGGACCCAAUCGAGAAACCAAUUGGACCCAUCAGAACCCUUGGGACCCAUCAGAACCCAUUGGGACCCAUCAAACCAAAUUGGACCAUCAGAACCAUUGGACCCAUCAGAACCGAAUUGGGACCAUCAGAACGCCAUUGGACCAUCAGAACCAAUUGGACCCAUAUCAAAGCAACCAAUUGCGGUCAGCAAUGGACCCAGUCAGCCCCAUUGGACCCAUCAGAACCAAUUGGGAGACCCUCAGAACCAAUUGGGACCCAUCAGAACCAAUAUUGGGUCAGCAUUGGACCCAUCAGAACCAAUUGGACCCAUCAGAACCCAUUGGGACCCAUCAGAACCCAUUGGGACCCAUCAGAACCCAUUGGGACCCAUCAGAACCAAUUGGACCCAUCAGAACCCAUUGGGACCCAUCAGAACCCAUUGGGACCCAUCAGAACCAAUUGGGACCCAUCAGAACCAAUUGGACCCAUCAGAACCCAUUGGACCCAUCAGAACCAUUGUGACCCCAUGCAGAACCAAUGUGGACCCCAUCAGAACCGCAUUGCGGAACCCAUCAAACCAAUUGGCCAUCAAGAACCCAUUGGACCCAUCAGAACAAAUAUUGGUCAGCAUUGGACCCAUCAGAACAAUAUGGGAACCCAUCAGAACCCAUUGGACCAUCAGGAACCAAUUGCGGACCAUCAGAACCCACUUGGACCCAUCAGAACCCAUUGGACCCAUCAGAACCCAUUGGGACCCAUCAGAAACCAAUAUGGGUCAGUAUAUGGGACCAUCAAACCAAUUGGACCCAUGCAGAACCAAAUUGAAACCCAUCAGAUACCCAUUGGGACCACAUCAGCAACCCAUUGGACCCGUAUUAGGGGGGGUCCCUAUAGUUUGUAGUGUUGGGCUGGGAUAUAGGGUUGUUUUAUGGGGGCGGCGGGCGGCAUAUUUUGGGGUAGAAAUGAGAAGUUGGGGUUUGUGGGGGGGGGAGGAGAUUUUGGGGGUGUUUUGUAAUAAAGAAGUGAAAGAAAUUGAGGGGUUCUUUUUUGGGGGGGGGUCUGGGACCCUAUAAAGUGG
RNAcentral lists this long non-coding RNA (1410 nucleotides) under Coturnix japonica (Japanese quail). RNAcentral describes it as "lncRNA (ENSCJPG00005000236.1)". Lineage: Eukaryota; Metazoa; Chordata; Aves; Galliformes; Phasianidae. The record is from RNAcentral.